AGACUGUCAGGAAAAGCUGUUUUUAAAAAAAUAUUAAAAACCACAUGAGAAUAAAAAAUCAGUUUGGCAGGAAACCUGAAGAAUAUUUGAUAAAAGUGGUUUCUGUUAGUCUUGGCCCAAAGAAAACGUCUUAGCUCUUUGCUAGAACCGGGCAGCGUGGUGGAAAAAAAAAGAUGCAGUGUCUCCUUCUCUUGCCUAAUCUUUUGGCAGACAAAUGGAUCAUUCUGACAUCGUGUUAGAAGUGUCAGCCUUGUAUUGGACACCCCAAAGAUACUGUACUUUAUGGUGGCAUUACUUCUGGGCAUUGUUGCUGCUUAAGGAAGAGCUGCCAGUCUGCUUUGUAACAUUGUUGGGGCAGAGUUCAGCCGCCUCUACAGCAGUUCCACUUCCCGGAGGGGGCAAAAAGGAAAGCCGGAGGCAGAGCUGUGCAGUGUGGUUGACAAGGGCCUGGUUGUCAUUAUUCUCUCACGCCAGUAUGAAAGAGGUGAGUCUCACAGUUCCCGCGGCAGGUUUGCUUGUGGGGUGGGCCCGUCUGUUAAACUGUUGGUGGCCACCAAUUGGCAGUCCCUGGUUAGACGUUAGGAAGCUGGUAGCUUAGCUUUAUGGGAACCCUGAAACAAUACGCACUACUGUUUCCUGAGAGAAACACUAGAAAUGCAAGUAGGAUUUAAAUACUGGGGAUGAUGUGUUUUGCUAGCUCUAUGGAGGCCUUUGGCAUGAUCCCUUUCAAUUCAUCUAAGAGGAAGGUUCCCCCCG
RNAcentral lists this long non-coding RNA (756 nucleotides) under Apteryx rowi (Okarito brown kiwi). RNAcentral describes it as "lncRNA (ENSARWG00000008422.1)". Lineage: Eukaryota; Metazoa; Chordata; Aves; Apterygiformes; Apterygidae. The record is from RNAcentral.